UGCCCAGACUCCUACGGGAGGCAGCAGUGGGGGAUAUUGCACAAUGGGGGGAGCCCUGAUGCAGCGACGCCGCGUGGGUGAAGGAGUGCUUCGGCAUGUAAAGCCCUAUCGGCAGGGAAGAAGCAAGACGGUACCUGAUUAAGAAGCCCCGGCUAACUACGUGCCAGCAGCCGCGGUAAUACGUAGGGGGCGAGCGUUAUCCGGAUUUACUGGGUGUAAAGGGAGCGUAGACGGUUCUGCAAGUCUGAAGUGAAAGCCCGUGGCUUAACCGCGGAACGGCUUUGGAAACUGUGGAACUGGAGUGCUGGAGAGGCAAGCGGAAUUCCUAGUGUAGCGGUGAAAUGCGUAGAUAUUAGGAGGAACACCAGUGGCGAAGGCGGCUUGCUGGACAGUAACUGACGUUGAGGCUCGAAAGCGUGGGGAGCAAACAGGAUUAGAUACCCCCGUACC
Molecule: ribosomal RNA, 450 nt
Filed under: uncultured bacterium
Lineage: Bacteria
Description: bacterial SSU rRNA
Rfam family: Bacterial small subunit ribosomal RNA
Source: RNAcentral